Molecule: ribosomal RNA, 253 nt
Filed under: uncultured bacterium
Lineage: Bacteria
Description: partial 16S ribosomal RNA
Rfam family: Bacterial small subunit ribosomal RNA
Source: RNAcentral
UACGGAGGGAGCUAGCGUUGUUCGGAAUUACUGGGCGUAAAGCGCGCGCAGGCGGCCAACUAAGUCAGACGUGAAAUCCCUCGGCUUAACCGGGGAACUGCGUCUGAUACUGGAUGGCUUGAGUUCGGGAGAGGGAUGCGGAAUUCCAGGUGUAGCGGUGAAAUGCGUAGAUAUCUGGAGGAACACCGGUGGCGAAGGCGGCAUCCUGGACCGACACUGACACUGAGGAGCGAAAGCCAGGGGAGCAAACGGG